UCACCCGCCGAUUCAUCGUCCCUUUUAUCGUUCCUUUUGGGGCGCCACACCUGGGGCCUUCCUUCCUUCUUAUCUGCCGUGCUCUGUUGUUCCUCCUCUUGUUGUUCCCAUUGGCGGAGACGCUGGAUUCUUCGCUUUUGAGACUUGGUCAAUCCGUCGGGACACCACCUGGGGUUUAUAGGUCUUCCCUCUGACCUGGCGCGUUCCCACUCCGGUUC
This 218-nucleotide long non-coding RNA is filed under the name Setaria italica (foxtail millet). RNAcentral's name for it is "long non-coding RNA (SITA_LNC004616)". Lineage: Eukaryota; Viridiplantae; Streptophyta; Magnoliopsida; Poales; Poaceae. The record is from RNAcentral.